AUGGCGCUGUUCUGCGUCCGCAGGUACGGCGGGGAGGAGGAGCAGGAGGGAAGCGGAGCGGAGGAGCGAGCCCGGGCCCUGCUGCAGAGGCUGCGCCAGCAGGCCGAGGCCCGGCGGCUGAGCAGGCAGCGGGAGGGAGGGGAAGGGGCGUCCGGAGGAGCCGGGCCCGGGGGCCAACCCGAGGGAGGACAGAGAGAGAGGGAGAGUGACGAGCCGUCCGGCGCGCGGGGACAGAAGCAGCCGAGGAGGCAGCGGGAGCCUCGCGGCCCUUCCGAAGAGGGGCCGGGCGCUGAGGAGGCAGCAGCGGGCGGCACCGCCUCCAAGAGGAAGAAGGAAAAGAGAAGAAAAUCGCAAGUGCGGCAAGAGAGGACUGAAGCAGAGUCUGAAGAAGACAUCACACCACAGGACAACAGGACUAACCUUAGCAAUAAACUUGCUAAAAGGAAGAAGAGGGAUGAGGAAACCAGGAGAACUGAAACAAGGGAGGAAGCGAAUAGGGAAAGAGCUGAAGGAAAUCAAAGCACCAAGGAGGAGCUGACCUUAGCAGCCUCAGAGGAAGAGGCAAAACCUCCACCUUCCAGUUUUGAGGUUCUUGGAGACUAUGACAUAAAGCCAGUGCAGAAGGUUCAGCCCUUCUUACCACACUGGCUUGCCCAACCCAAACUGGUGCAGAAACGGAUCAAGGAUAAUCUGGUUCCAAUUGGAGAUGUCCCAGGAAUUCAUCCCCGGCUGUUGAAAAAGCUUCAAAUGAAUGGGAUCGAGUCCUUUUUUCCAGUUCAGGCACAGGUGAUUCCUGCUAUCCUCCAGAGUGCAUCCAAUGGGUACCUGGUGGGGCAGGGGGGAUACCGCCCCAAGGACAUCUGCGUCUCGGCUCCCACGGGCAGUGGGAAAACCCUGUCCUUUGUCAUACCCAUAGUACAGGUUCUGCUGGACCGAGUCGUGUGCCAAGUACGAGCUCUGGUUGUGCUGCCCACCAAAGAGCUGGCACAGCAGGUGAGUAAAGUAUUCAACAUUUACACUGAUGGGACAGGUCUGAAGGUCGUUUUGAUUACUGGCCAGAAAUCUUUUGCAAAGGAGCAGGAGAUGCUUAUCCAGAAAAAAGUGACAGGCUACUGCAGCCUGGCUGACAUCAUCGUGGCCACGCCAGGGCGGCUCACGGAUCACAUCAGCCAGACCCCGGGGUUCAGCCUGGCGCAGCUUCGCUUCCUGAUUGUUGAUGAAGCUGACCGUAUGAUCGACGACAUGCACCAGAACUGUCUGAACCAAGUUGUCAAAGCUGCAUUCCAAGUAGAAAAUUGCUCUGGCUCCAAGAUGCUUUUUCAGAGGACUAAGCCAGGGCCUGUAACAGCAGCCAGCUCCUGCUAUCCUCAGAUACCCUUACAGAAACUGCUGUUUUCAGCCACCCUGACCCAGGACCCAGAGAAGCUGCAGCAGCUGGACUUAUUCCAGCCUCGCCUCUUCACGUCUGUCUAUUCUGAGAAAAAAACUCUUGGAGAUGGAACAGAGGCUGAACAAGAUACUGAUAAGAAAUACACACUCCCUGAGGGGCUCUCGCAAUGUUAUGUGCCUUGUGAUCUGAAUUCCAAGCCUUUGCUCCUCUUGCAUUUCAUGCUGAUAAAGAAAUUUACCCGUGUGUUGUGCUUCACCAAUUCCAGGGAAGCUUCUCACAGAUUGUUCCUGCUGGUUAAAGCCUUUGGUGGAGUCACUGUGGCUGAGUUUUCUUCUCGGUUACCUCCGAAUGAGAGACGGAGAACCAUGAAGGAAUUUGAGCAAGGAAAAAUACAACUGUUAAUCAGCACAGAUGCCACUGCACGAGGGAUUGAUGUUCAAGAAGUGAAUUAUGUCAUCAACUACGACGCGCCGCAGUUCAUCAGGACCUACGUUCACCGAGUUGGAAGAACAGCUCGUGCAGGAAAAGUGGGUGUUGCUUUCAGCUUGGUCCUUAGAAUUCAGGAGCGCAGGUUUCUGCGGAUGCUGAGGGAUGCUGGCAUCCAGGACAUAAAAAAGCACCCAGUGAAGGGUAACUCAUUAAAGCCAUUGCUGCAGCAAUAUGAGGAAGCUCUGUGUAAGCUUGAGAAGACAGUCAAGAAUGAGCGAGCACAGAAACGAGCCUGAAUGAAUGGAAGCAGAGAAGGUUGUGUUUGUGGCACUGCAGCUGCUGAGUGGGAUAGGUCAUGGAUGGUAACAAGGAGACAUGGUCCCUGAAUGGAGCCAGAUGGUUGGCUCCUCAACCUUAUUAUAUCUAAAGUCAACUGUUGCAGACCUCAUUCCCUUUUCAAGGACACUCAGAGUUCAAUUACUGGUUAAAAAAAAAAAAAAGACAGCAAUAAUUUUGAGAUACAGUUAUCUUGAAGAGGACUUUGGAUCACAUCCUGCUGGCGUGGCUAAAACUACCACCAGUCGCUGCAGCAUGGGCCUGAUGGAGCUGCUGGUCUCCAAAGGUGUUGCCCAGCAUGGGUGCCUGGGCUGGCAUCAGAGCAGCCAAAGUGGAAAGUCCUCUGGAGCCGGAGCUGUGGGCUUCUGUGAGUAGAGCAAGGAUCUGCUUUGGGCACCUGCAUCCCACCAGCCGAGCUUUGGGUUCCCUCUACAUGAAGCAAGUAAGGGCAGUUAUUAAGCCUGAGUUCAGGUUUGAUGUGGCAGAGCCCGGUUGGAGCUUUGCCCUGGACAGCCCCCAGUGCCCCUGGUCUGUGAGACCACC
This is an RNA transcript of Apus apus (common swift), 2698 nucleotides long. It is a transcript of the gene named DEAD-box helicase 51, with no coding region annotated. The transcript has 17 exons. NCBI's taxonomy places the organism in Eukaryota, Metazoa, Chordata, Aves, Apodiformes, Apodidae. The record is from RefSeq and is a predicted model, not a curated record.